RNAcentral lists this ribosomal RNA (560 nucleotides) under gamma proteobacterium ZL-5. Its description in RNAcentral is "bacterial SSU rRNA". It matches the Rfam family "Bacterial small subunit ribosomal RNA", at positions 823 to 1382 of the family's 1533-position model. Lineage: Bacteria; Pseudomonadati; Pseudomonadota; Gammaproteobacteria. The record is from RNAcentral.
GUUGUGGCCUUGAGCCGUGGCUUUCGGAGCUAACGCGUUAAGUAGACCGCCUGGGGAGUACGGUCGCAAGAUUAAAACUCAAAUGAAUUGACGGGGGCCCGCACAAGCGGUGGAGCAUGUGGUUUAAUUCGAUGCAACGCGAAGAACCUUACCUACUCUUGACAUCCAUAGAACUUUCCAGAGAUGGAUUGGUGCCUUCGGGAACUAUGAGACAGGUGCUGCAUGGCUGUCGUCAGCUCGUGUUGUGAAAUGUUGGGUUAAGUCCCGCAACGAGCGCAACCCUUAUCCUUGUUUGCCAGCGAGUAAUGUCGGGAACUCCAGGGAGACUGCCGGUGAUAAACCGGAGGAAGGUGGGGACGACGUCAAGUCAUCAUGGCCCUUACGAGUAGGGCUACACACGUGCUACAAUGGCGCAUACAGAGGGCGGCCAACUUGCGAAAGUGAGCGAAUCCCAAAAAGUGCGUCGUAGUCCGGAUUGGAGUCUGCAACUCGACUCCAUGAAGUCGGAAUCGCUAGUAAUCGUAGAUCAGAAUGCUACGGUGAAUACGUUCCCGGGCCUU